Molecule: long non-coding RNA, 1645 nt
Filed under: Schizosaccharomyces pombe (fission yeast)
Lineage: Eukaryota; Fungi; Ascomycota; Schizosaccharomycetes; Schizosaccharomycetales; Schizosaccharomycetaceae
Source: RNAcentral
AAUAUGUAGCGUAUUUGCAAAAUUGAACCGAAAAAAAAGAAUGAAUAUCGAUGAAGCUGAACUGUGUUAAAAUUGGAAAUCCAAAACAGAAUUGAGAAAAUUCGACAAUGCACCAAAGACUAUCCAAAAUAUUUAUCUAAAUUGAUUCCCAACAAAUACAAUCCAAGCUAUCUAUAAAACGACAAAAGUAAAUAUUUUCGCAGUCGACCGAAAAAAUGGAAUGAUAACUAUAAAUUUCAGAUAAUUAGUUUAAAUUAACCCAACCAAAACUUAAAGAUGCAUUAGCGUCUUACCAAACGAAAAAUCCAGAAUUAUAUCAACUAACGGCUCAAUACCAAAAUGCGAAUGAAUGUGGGAAAUGGAUGAAACAGACGGAACGAGCCGUAAAAAAAUUGGGAAUCAAAUUUUUAUAAGAGAUCUAACGAGUUACUGGAAUGCCUUUCUAACGAGCCGGUUGUUUCGAUCACUCAGCGUACCGGACAUCUUUUGGAAUCAAUUUUUGUUAACGACUUUUUUCAGCAUAUGGUGAAGUGCGGUAUUCCCCAAAUUCGAACUUUCACACUAGGUUCUGUGGUUUGAUAAAAUGCAAGCAGCUUGAUUCAUUUACGAAAAAAUUACGAUCCUGACUCUGCUUCUUUCACACAGUAAAACGGGUCAUAUUGGAGUUGUAUGAACAUUUGGCAAAAACGUUUCUUAAUGAAAAUCAGAUCCUUUCCAAUGUUCCUAAGAUGUUAUGGUAUCAUGCAUUUUUGAGUUUGAUAGUAAAGAAUUAAAUUAAUAGAAUUUAAACAAAGCACUAAACACACUGAAUCCUUAUUUUUCUUCAUGAGUAAAUUUUUCUCUAGGCAAAUUAUCUGAUCAGAUAAGGAAGGCUUGCAUGCCGAGUGGUGGAAUGUCGCUUGGAAUAUGAAAAAAAGAUUGUAUGCCCGCAGCCUGUUUUACAAAAAUGUUUCUCAUUAUCAACUAAAACAUAAGUACUAUUUAUCAUUCCAAAACCAAUUUCUUUUAAUUUCGAUUCUGGUUUCUCAAUGUAAACCUUGCUGGAUUUCGCUAUAAUUCCAACCCAAGCUCAACAAAAUGGUCAUGGGCAAUAAGAGUUUGCACUUCCAUCUAAUUAUGAACCAAAUUCAGAAAAAUAUCAAAAAUUUUUCUACUGACUUAUUCUUGAGCAUUACUCACCCUCUAAAAACCUCCUAUCUAUUGUUCGAUACAAAAUAAGGAUAUGCCUGUAUACUGGUAUUACAAUAUAAUAUUACAAUAUUCUCUUUUACAAUUCCUAUUCGCUUAACUUUGAUGCUUGAAUUAUUAUUUAGCGAACUCUAAAGUAUGUUUUAAUCGCAAAAAAAAAGAAGAAUCAACGCUUUACCCUACCAAACAGAGGUGGAACUCUCCAUCAUUGUCUGAUUAUUUUUUAAGAAAGAUGAAUGUUUCCAUAUCAUAUCUAAGCCGUAAUCCGCCAGUCUCGUUUCUGUAAAUCCAAAUUGCAAUGAUGCUUAAAGCUGUUUAUAAUAAAGUACGUUAGAUUUAUUUAGCGCAAUGAAUAGAGAUACACUAAACCGAUUUAAGAUCAAUAACUGAAUAUCGAAACAAGUGCAAGAACUGCUUGCUGUAUUGUUAGAAAAAAAAAAUUUCGGUUGAACUUAUC